This 69-nucleotide transfer RNA is filed under the name Plica plica (tree runner). RNAcentral's name for it is "tRNA-Arg". Lineage: Eukaryota; Metazoa; Chordata; Lepidosauria; Squamata; Tropiduridae. The record is from RNAcentral.
UGGACAUUAGUUUACAAAAAACACCUAAUUUCGACUUAGGAAAACUAGUUGAAUGCACUAGAUAUCCAU